GAUGUAUAUCAUUUUGAUUGUUGCUCAGAAAGCCGUGUUUUAAUUCACUCAUGAGGCUUUCGAGUAAUAAUUAAACACAGAUACAUC
RNAcentral lists this microRNA precursor (87 nucleotides) under Phlebotomus papatasi. RNAcentral describes it as "microRNA mir-315". It matches the Rfam family "mir-315 microRNA precursor family". Lineage: Eukaryota; Metazoa; Arthropoda; Insecta; Diptera; Psychodidae. The record is from RNAcentral.